This 254-nucleotide ribosomal RNA is filed under the name uncultured bacterium. RNAcentral's name for it is "partial 16S ribosomal RNA". It matches the Rfam family "Bacterial small subunit ribosomal RNA", at positions 524 to 777 of the family's 1533-position model. The record is from RNAcentral.
UACGAAGGGGGCUAGCGUUGCUCGGAAUCACUGGGCGUAAAGGGUGCGUAGGCGGGUUUUUAAGUCAGGGGUGAAAUCCUGGAGCUCAACUCCAGAACCGCCUUUGAUACUGAAGAUCUUGAGUCCGGGAGAGGUGAGUGGAACUGCGAGUGUAGAGGUGAAAUUCGUAGAUAUUCGCAAGAACACCAGUGGCGAAGGCGGCUCACUGGCCCGGUACUGACGCUGAGGCACGAAAGCGUGGGGAGCAAACAGGG